CAAGGGAUGGCGUGAGUAGGAACUGGCAAGGUAAGAGCAUCCAAACCAACAGGAGAUUGUGUAGGAAUUCAUUUACGCCAAUGUUUUGAGGACAUGACCAGAAGCAACAUCUCAACAGAUUGAAAAAAUGCUCUGGAGAAUGGCUGUUACGCAGCUCAUUUUAUUUUUUUGUUUUAUUUGUUUGCAGUUCAUUUUAUACAUUUGGAAUCAAAGGAGAAAAACAUAAGGAAGGUUACCUGAACUCCAUCGUUGGUCGAUUAAAGAGGCAGGAGAAAGCAAAGCGAGGACAUCUCCAGGACUGUAUAAAAAGCCAAACGGAGAAACACUUCUUUUUCAUAGACCCACAGUCCUGUAGCAGUUCCCUGACCAGUCCUGCAAUGGAAAUUGCCCUGGAUCUGUCCUUCUGCCCUUCAACCUUGCAUAGUGGCCACCCUUUGGGGAAGAUCCUGUCGUCACACCCAUUCUACAAGAGAGAAGAUUGAGAGGUUAAAUAACAUAAGCACAAGGCCACACAGCUGGUAAGCGGCAGGACCAGGAUGGCAAACCCAGGUGGUCGCCUGAGCUACUAACCACAGCACUACUGUGUCCUGCAAUGAACUUCUGGGGAGUGUUGUUGUGAGAAUUAUACAAGCUAGUAUAAAUAAAGCACUUAAAGCUAUGCCUGGCACUUAAUAAGAGCUCCCAUAAAUGGUUAGUAUUACUAAUUUAUUAUCAUUAUUACCUCUAGGUGAAAAGGCUGCCUUUGACUUGUUGGGGUUGCUAUUGUAAUAAACCUGGUGUCUUUUCUUUUUUUUUGUUA
This is a non-coding RNA of Miniopterus natalensis, 799 nucleotides long. The record is from RefSeq and is a predicted model, not a curated record. Lineage: Eukaryota; Metazoa; Chordata; Mammalia; Chiroptera; Miniopteridae.